GACGAACGCUGGCGGCGUGCUUAACACAUGCAAGUCGAACGGUAAGGCCCUUCGGGGUACACGAGUGGCGAACGGGUGAGUAACGCGUGAGUAACCUGCCCUUCACUCUGGGAUAACAGUUGGAAACGGCUGCUAAUACCGGAUAUUCAGCUCCUGUCGCAUGGUGGGGGUUGGAAAGUUUUGGUGGUGGAGGAUGGGCUCGCGUCCUAUCAGCUUGUUGGUGGGGUGAUGGCCUACCAAGGCGUCGACGGGUAGCCGGCCUGAGAGGGCGACCGGCCACAUUGGGACUGAGAUACGGCCCAAACUCCUACGGGAGGCAGCAGUGGGGAAUAUUGCACAAUGGGCGGAAGCCUGAUGCAGCAACGCCGCGUGCGGGAUGACGGCCUUCGGGUUGUAAACCGCUUUCAGCAGGGACGAAGCGCAAGUGACGGUACCUGCAGAAGAGGCACCGGCUAACUACGUG
This 463-nucleotide ribosomal RNA is filed under the name uncultured bacterium. RNAcentral's name for it is "partial 16S ribosomal RNA". It matches the Rfam family "Bacterial small subunit ribosomal RNA", at positions 28 to 507 of the family's 1533-position model. The record is from RNAcentral.